This 73-nucleotide transfer RNA is filed under the name Candidatus Dadabacteria bacterium. RNAcentral's name for it is "tRNA-Gly". It matches the Rfam family "tRNA". Rfam says of the family: Transfer RNA (tRNA) molecules are approximately 80 nucleotides in length. Their secondary structure includes four short double-helical elements and three loops (D, anti-codon, and T loops). RNAcentral also lists the same sequence under 1 other name. The record is from RNAcentral. Lineage: Bacteria; Pseudomonadati; Thermodesulfobacteriota; Candidatus Dadabacteria.
GCGGAUAUAGCAUAAUUGGUAAUGCACUAGCUUCCCACGCUAGGUAGUAUGGGUUCGAGUCCCAUUAUCCGCU